UAAACGACUCUCGGCAACGGAUAUCUCGGCUCACGCAUCGAUGAAGAACGUAGCAAAAUGCGAUACUUGGUGUGAAUUGCAGAAUCCCGUGAACCAUCGAGUUUUUGAACGCAAGUUGCGCCCGAAGCCAUUCGGCCAAGGGCACGUCUGCCUGGGCGUCACGU
Molecule: ribosomal RNA, 164 nt
Filed under: Polydora poskeana
Lineage: Eukaryota; Viridiplantae; Streptophyta; Magnoliopsida; Asterales; Asteraceae
Also listed under: 2 other names
Description: 5.8S ribosomal RNA
Rfam family: 5.8S ribosomal RNA
About the family: 5.8S ribosomal RNA (5.8S rRNA) is a component of the large subunit of the eukaryotic ribosome.
Source: RNAcentral